ACGAGCAGGAUGGAGGGAUAACUGAAUUUCCCUUUGCACAAGCUAAGGUGAAAUAUCACCGGUCCCGUUACUGCAUCACUGCCUUCGGGGAAACCAAUUGCGUUAGGAUGGAAGAGGAACCCGGAAGCGCUGAGAAGUUAGCAAAGCUCUACAAAAUAGUAAUGCAGGGAUACCAACAAAACGUAGCCUUACGGACGGGUCAAAAUAUUAAACCAAGUAUCCGAAGCCUUGAUGCUAUACUGAGCCAGGACAUAAACAUGGACGCACUGAACCAGUUGAUUAAGCCCCUAAGAA
This is a long non-coding RNA of Cydia strobilella, 294 nucleotides long. RefSeq lists it as uncharacterized. The record is from RefSeq and is a predicted model, not a curated record. Lineage: Eukaryota; Metazoa; Arthropoda; Insecta; Lepidoptera; Tortricidae. The transcript has 3 exons.